GAACGACUGCGUCACAGGUUAAGUCACGUGACGUUAGUGUCUAAUGCGCUAGCAAACGUUCACGUUAACGGUAGCUCGCGUAUCUGCAUCCGACCCUCGUAAGAGUCCACGACCUAUAAACUCCAUUAGAGGACAACGAUUUGGAUGGAACUGGGACUCAGGUUCUGUAACAACAUCCCAACACCGGAUACCAAAUGAUAGUUGGGCAUUUGAAUGCCGCACACAUAUACAAAGUCCACAUGGAGGUUAAAGUUGACUGGACUGGACCACGUGGUCAUCGUCGGCCUGGUGUUCGGGUCCCUGAAGUUCAGCUGCAAUGCUGAAAGCCCCCUGUCCAAUGUGUUGGAUGUCUUUGUACAAACUAUGUGCUUACAGUUUUUCUCUAUUGUUUACACACAUUUUCUUAAAGCAUGCCUCAUACUCUCAGAACUCUACACACAAAUCAAAAAACACACACACACAAUGGGCAAAACCCCUCAAUACUCCUGCAAAAUUAAACUUUACAUUCAAAACAAUGUAAUUUCUUCUCAAAAUGGUAUUUUGUUUUCAAAUGACACACACAAACCAUCAUAUGAAAAGACUUUUAUAAGAACCAGUUGAACACUGAUGUGCUGAAUGUUAAACACUAUGAUGAAUGGAAAACACAAAUUUGCACCGCCGCUGACACCGCAGCACCAGCCUCCUCAUUCAUUUCAAUAAGAGCACUGCGUUAUGCAUGUGUUUUGAAAACACAAAUUUACUGUAUACAGUUACAGUAAAAACAUCUAUGCUGCAUCCUGUCUUCUGUUCCGGUCUGUUCCACAGAACCUCAUCCACAUCGCAAGCAAUGUUUUCCCUGGCCAAGCAGAGGGGGAAAUAUCGCUCAGCAUGUCCAAUCCAGCCAUGAAAAGCAUCAACUGCUUUAUCUCCACAUGCGUCUUCCAUAGCUUGGAGAAGGGGGAUAUGCGUUUGUGGAUUUUGGUCAAACACUUUCCAUCUCCAGGCAGAAAAGAAUUCCUCCAUAGCUUUGGUCAACCAAAGUGGGUCGGAUCUCAUCAGAGUUUACGGUCCUUGGCCUUCCUCCUCCUCCUCCUCCUCCUCCUCCUCCUCUUACUCUCACUCCUCUGCCUCUGUUUCUAAUGUUGUCAUCCAUUGCUCCAAAACAGAAGAGCUCACCUGUUGCCUUUUAUGCUAAAGCUCUGAUUCCUAAUUGUAACACUGUGUGACAGGUGUUUUCCCAUGUGACGAGUCAGUGUGCAUAGUGGGGCAAUUGACGUUAGAAUUUUGAAUGACAGUGUUUUUCUUGUGAAAACAAAAUUUUCUUCAUGAAAAUUGUACAGAGAAUGCAGAGAAUUGUGUGUAGUGUUUUGAAAAAAGUGUGUUUUAGAACUGCAAUUUGAGUGUAAAGCAAGAAUAGUGCUUGUAGUUUAGCAGAAUUGAGAUCGAGAAAAAAAUAUCAGACAUGCUCCAGUAAAUGCCUGUGUCACCAGCUUCAUGACGCAGGGAGUUAAAUAAAUGCUCUGAUUAAGCAUAGAUUUGAAAUCAGUGUUGAAUUUUAUUAUUUCUCAAACUCCUUUCUGUUUCACAUGAAUAAAAAGAUCAACACAAAAAUAAAAAUAAU
Molecule: long non-coding RNA, 1600 nt
Organism: Pungitius pungitius (ninespine stickleback)
Lineage: Eukaryota; Metazoa; Chordata; Actinopteri; Perciformes; Gasterosteidae
Exons: 3
Source: RefSeq, a predicted model, not a curated record